RNAcentral lists this long non-coding RNA (7863 nucleotides) under Citrus maxima (pomelo). RNAcentral describes it as "long non-coding RNA (CMAX_LNC000568)". Lineage: Eukaryota; Viridiplantae; Streptophyta; Magnoliopsida; Sapindales; Rutaceae. The record is from RNAcentral.
CAGCAAAAGCAAUUGCAAGCUUUUCGCUAUGGUGUUUCAAAUUAUAUUCCUUUUCCUCACUGUCCAUGUCAUGCAUAUCAGCGCCCGUAUCAGGGACAUAGCCCCGUAGCUUCAUCUCUGAUGUUAGUUCUUCCAAAUACAAAUCAAUCUCCAUCGAAAUUGGAUGAGAUUUGUCGCCCAUGGUAAACUGAUGAACUUGAUUCUUUAUUUCUAACCAGCUUACACCUGGUUCCUUCUUCACAUUCCUCUCUCUCAUGGCCUCUCUAAACUCGGAAACACCCUGCCACCUCUUAGCAGAAGCAUGAAUGUUAGAAAGCAACACAUAAGGAGCCGCAUCCUGAGGAUUAAGUCCAAGAAUUUCUUCAGCGAUUCUUCCAGCCAUAUCAGUACUCUUAUGGGUUUUACAUGCGGAUAACAAAGUUUUCCAUAUGAUAGCAUCGGCUUUGACUGGCAUGUUUCUUAUCAGAGCCGCUGCUUCGUCUAAAUAACCACAACGGCCAAGUAGGUCAACCACACAUGUAUAAUGUUCUAAUCUAGGCUUCAGACCAUACUUCUUUACCAUCAAAUCAAAGAAUUCCAUCCCUUUUUCCUUCAGACCACAAUGACUGCAAGCAUACAGCAAGCUCACAAAAGUAACAUCAUUUGCCUCGAAUUCUUUCUGCUCCAUCUGCUCAAACAAGUUGAUAGCUUCCUCUCCCUUUCCAUGAAAUCCAUAAGCAGCAAUCAUUGAACUCCACAAAACGACAUCCGAGUAUUCACAUUCCAGAAAAGCUUUCACUGAAUCAUCCAAACAACCACAUCUCGAAUACAUGCUAAUUAACGAACUAAUCACCCCAACAUCCAAACUAGCCCCAGCUUUAACCACUUCUGCAUGAAUCUGCUGACCUUGACCUAAUGUUGCCAAUUCCGAACAUGAACUAAUCACUCACAAAUGUAAUCUUGUCAGGCCUAAACCCUACCAUUCUCAUCAAAUUAUAUUGAUCCAAGACAUCCUCAGCAAGCCCAUUUUGAGCUUUUCCUGCAAUGAGUGUGAUCCAAGCAAUCACAUUGCAAACAGGCAUCAAUCUAAUCACCUUCUCUCCUUCUAGCAAGCUUCCACUUUUCAUAUACAUGUGAGCCAAUGAACUCCCAGCAACCAAAUCCAGCUCAAACCCACCUUUCACCACGUAACAAUGAAUUCGCCUCCCAGCAUCUAACCCUCUCAAACCAGCACACCCCCUCAAAACACUACCUAAAGUAAAUUCAUCAGGCAAAAAACCAACUUGAUGCAUUUCACUUAGUAAUCUCAAACCCUCCUCAUUAAACUCAAACUGAACCAAUCCCGCAACCAUCGCAUUCCAGGUUGCAAUAUUUCUCUUAGUCAUCCCAUCAAACACUUUCCGUGCACUCUCCAAAUCACCGCUCUGCACAUUCGCAUUGAUCAUAAUGUUACAAGACAUGGUAUUUCUCCUCGGCAUGAGACCAAACAGGGUAACAGCUGUUUGUAAUUGCCCAAUUUUUGAGUACAUGUUGAGCAAGUGAUUGCAAAUGAAAUUGUUUGAGGAACACCCAGAUGUGACGAUCAAAGAGUGAAGCUGUUUUGAACAUGAAAGUGAUUUUUUGAGCGUGCAUGAUUGGAUUAGAUGAGAGAAGAGAGUUGGGUCUGACCAUAUUUCAGAUUUAAAUCUGUUGACGGCUUCUUUUAUGUGUCCUUUUGAGCAUAAGUUGAUAAAUUCUUCUGUUGAGUCAACGAAAUUAGCAACUACUUCUGUGGCAGUCUUGGAGAAAAAACGAGGGCAAGACAUGUAUUGAUACUAGUUUUUAAGUUGAGCUGAUUUCGUAUGAUUCCGAAACUUAUAACUAUAAAAAGUCUGCACCUGUGGAUAGUGCUGAGAUUUUAUGCUUCAAAAAUCAGGUGCAAAGUAUUAUACAUUCAAGUGUAAACGUUCAAAGAGUGGCUGAAAUUUCAAGUAUGGAUAAUAUUAAUGCCACUCAAGUAGAUACAGAUAAUGGUGCUGGAACAGCUGGAGGGACCCUAUUUUCAGCUGGGAUUUCGACAAACUCUGAGAGGAUUGCCCGGAAUUCAUCCCCUGACAUCGUUUCCUUCUCAAGAAGAACUUCCACGAUCUUGUCAAUGGCUUCACGGUUGUUCCUUAUUUGGCUCAACGCAAUCUCAUAAGCACGGUCUGAUAGUCUCUUGACUGCGGCAUCGAUGUCUUCAGCAAGCUUCUCUGACAUUGAGUUCCUUGCCGUCAUUCUCAUGAUGACAUCACCACUGUGUGAUCCGUCCACGAACGACCAUGGGCCAAUUUCAGACAUUCCAAAUGUGGUUACCAUCUGCUGAAAAAAAGAAAAAAAAAAUAAUAUGCCUAAAUUUUAUUGAAAAUUGUUGGAGGAAUAAUUGACGGAGAAGGCAAAAACAGGAUUAUUAAAUUACCUGUUUGGCCAAGAAGUGAUUUGGAUUUGGGUUGGCAAGAUCAAGAAUCUAGCAAGAGCCUUCUAAAUAAUACCGAAAAGUAACUCCCACCACCUGUAUAUUGAUCCACUUUCUUAUUCAACAAAUCUCUGCAAAUCUUUAUAAUUAAUUUUGAUAUGGAUUUUUUUUCCUCCUUCACUCUGGUAAUUAACUUUUGUAUCCAUGUAGUGAUAAAGUAAAAUCUCUCUUUCUUUUAUCCUAAUGGUUCAUUUAUUUGCUUGAUAAAUAUCUUGUUACAGUCUUGUUUCCACAGUUAACUGACUUUUAAAUUACAAUUUUAUCUUUCAAUAAAUUAAAAGGACAUCACAUAAAAAUUAUUUUCUUUUUGUUUCUUUUUUUAACGGAGAAUCAAAGAUUUAGACUCUAUUUGGUACAGUUUUUCAAACAAAAUUUAUUUAAGCGGAGUUUUUGGUAAUAAAGCUUUUACAAAUGAAGCUUUCAUUUAAAAAAUUUUAAUUUUUUCAUAGUCAAUAAGAGUUUUUAUUAAAAAUUUAUAAAAUUAUUUUAAUAGAUAAAUUUUUUAAGUUAUCUUAUGAAAAAAUAAAAUAAUAUUGUCAAAUAAAUAAAAAAAUAUUUUGGAUAUUUUAACAUUUAAAAAAAAAAAUUUCAACCUCUAUUCCCAAAAAUCUAAAAUUUAGACUUUUACUAGUAGAGAAAAAUAAUUUAUUUAAGCUCUAAAAGUUCUAAAAAAAAACCAAAUAACAACAAAAAUUAUGAUAAGAGUUUAUGAGAUUAAAUAAGCACUUGGUUGUGGUCAUUAGAUAAGUCAAAUCAAACAGACACUUAUAAUGCCCUAAAAAAAUUAGUAGAUGAAUAUUUAGGGUUGAAAAAUAGUUUUUUUUUUCUCUUCGAAUUUUAAGGAAAAGAAUAGUUAUACUUCCUAAAAUUUGAGAAAAUAAUUAUCAAGAUCCCCUAAAUUUUGUAUUAUAAUUUUUGAGAAAUCUGAAUGCAAAGUCAAUUUUACCCUCGCAUAUGCACAUCCGUUUAUUAAUGACAUUUACAUAGAGAUUAGAAAUAAUUUGUCAACAAGUAAAGGAUGUUAAUUGGGCAAAGUGUCCUCUUUUUGGCAGCAAAGUAUUAAUGUUUAUUCCUCCAACAAACAUGAAACUGUUCUGCAUAUUUUCUUUCUUCUGGAUUCAUUUUAGUUCCUUUUUUACUAUUUCUCUUCGGUUUAAGUUUGUUCCUAUAAAUUUAAUUGCCUAUUGCUACUACCAGUUUUUAUUUUCCUUGUUACUCUGCUUCUGCUUGCAAUAUCAAAGCUAAAUGUAAUAUUUAUUGCACAGCUGAAGUGAUGAGUAAGCUUGAAUCCUUGGCUCAAGUGACAAAUAUAAAAUGCUGGUUCUUUUUCUCCAUUACAAUUCUAACAGAUAGUGAAGGAAAAAAAAUAAAAAAAAGAAGCAUAUCAGGCAUACUACAAUGAAAUGCCAAAGGAGAAAAAUGGCACAAUGUACAAUUAACAGAACUCAAAACAAGCUUAAAAAUCAAAUCUCAUGAACACAAAACAGUGGAUCUCAUACUCAUUAAUGAAUUUGGCCUGCACUCAAAUCUCAAUGAUGAACGUGCCUGAAAAUGAAUGUUCAUCUAGGAUUAGAAAGAACAGAUUCUGUUGGCCUGGAGGAGACAUGAUCACUAUUGACAAUGGAAACAUAUGGCAUUGCUUGUGCAAAUUUGUAAUCGACGUUUGCAUCUACUUCCAUUACUCCUUCCAACACCUUCACCACGGUUGACAUUGACGGCCUUUUUCCGGGAUCAUUCUGCAAACACCAGGCUCCAAUCUUAAUCAUUCUUAUCAUUUCAUCCAUAUGAUUUUCCACCUCUUCGCCGAAACUUUCCACGAUGUCAAACAGUCUGUCCUCCUUGGCCUUCUCCUGCAGCAGUCUGAGGAGAUGGCAGCUAGAUUCUGAUCGCGAACGAUCUAAGUUUCUCCGAGCACUGACCACUUCAAGAAGUACAAUUCCAAAGCUAUAUAUGUCAACUUUGACACUGAUUUUUGAUUUCCUCCAUUCCGGAGCAAUGUAUCCUGGAGUUCCUCUCAUUGUUGCCUGCACUAGGCUCUCGUCUCUCUCGAUUAGCUGAGCCAACCCAAAAUCAGAAACCUUGGCAUUGAAAUUUUCGUCCAAGAGAAUAUUUUGUGGCUUUAUAUCAAGAUGUGCCACUCUUCUCCGGCAAUCUUCAUGCAGAUAAGUCAAUCCUUUGGCUACAUCAAGUAUUAUUUUCUUCCUAGUUUGCCAGUCAAGACAAGGUCUCGGAUCUCUGACAAAAAUCCAUUUUUCCAAGGAGCCAUUGCUCAUGUACUCAUAAACAAGAAGCCUGCAGGAUUUCUCUACGCAAAAGCCAAUCAAUCUCACAAGAUUGAAAUGAUGCAAGCUACCGAUUGUCUCAACUUCUGCUACGAACUCCCUCAUCCCCUGCUCCAUUCUAUCCAGACGCUUUACAGCAAUUUUACUGCCGUCUUUUAAAACUCCCUUGAACACAGUUCCAAACCCCCCUCCUCCAAUUCUCUCUUUAAAAUCUUCUGUCGCAAUCUGUAAAUCUUCAUAUGAAAACCUCACAGGUAAUCCAGGAACUUGUUUCAUGUCAUCUUCCAAAUGUUCCUCCUCCUCUACGUUCCUCCGAACUUUCACAAUAUACAACACAAUUACAAUACAGAUAAUCAGAAGCCCACCAGCGGUUGAUCCUGCUACUACCGCCACCAAUUUUGUUCGUCCUUUUUUGGGUGAUUUUGGCCUGUUCUCUUCUGUUGGUGCUAUGCCUGUCACAGGUGGUGGUGCAUUUCCUUCUGGUGCUAAUGUUCCGUUUGUUGGAGUGAUGUAGGGUACAUUUCCUUCUGGUGCUAAUGUUCCGUUUGUUGGAGUGAUGUAGGGUACAUUUCCUUCUGGUGUUGAUGUUCCGUUUGUUGGAGUGAUGUAUGUUGGAGUGAUGUAUGUUGGAGUGAUAUAGGGUGCAUUUCCUUCUGGUGUUGAUGUUCGGUUUGUUGGAGUGAUGUAUGUUGGAGUGAUGUAGGCUGCAUUUCCUUCUGGUGUUAAUGUUCCGUUUGGAGUGAUGUAGGGAAUCAGAAGCCCACCAGCGGUUGAUCCUCCUGCUACCACCACCAAUUUUGUUCCUCUUUUUUUGGGUGAUUUUGGCAUGUUCUCUUCUGUUGGUGCUAUGCCCGUUACAGGUGGUGGUGCUUUUCCUUCUGGUGUUAAUGUUCCGUUUGGAGUGAUGGAGGGAUUUGGUGGACUCAGUGAUAUCUUUUCUGCUGAGGAUUUCCAAAUUAUUUUGCUUUCAUUGUUAAAGAGAGAAAGAUUUCCAUCCGGGUCAAGGUUCAUCCAGUGAACGGAGUUACCUGAGUGGUUGCUCGCCCAUAUCUGGGUGCCAUCCGAAUCUCUCAGCACCAAACCGUCCGUCUUUAGCUGCACCAUCGCGUUUGCUUUUACCGGGCGGGUCUUUGUUAGCUGACCAGACCACUCUGGGAUCAUUCCCUCUAACGGCAACAACUGAAAAAACAUAAGAGUUGCAGGUGCCAUUGCAGUAAAACCCACAAUAAAAAUCAAAAUCACCGGCGUCCUGUAAUAAGAGGAAUACUCUCAUCUGCCAUCCAUUUGUGAUGACAGAGUUGUUGUUGUACCAUGUAGAGGGAAGGCCUGAAUCCAAACAGUAAAUGUUGCUGGCCCUUACGUAACAAUUUCCCGUUGUUGCAGCCGAAGUUGGGAUGAUGUGUAAGCUAAUAAGAACGGAGAGAAUGGGAAACAAGCAGCGGAGGCUGCAGCUAGCCAUGAUCUGUGUGUUUGGAAUUGGGUGAGAGAGAUGAGAAAAAAGGGGUCACGAAGACAUUUUAAGUCAAGCAAGCUACAUAAAUAUCAUUCGUCUCUAUUUGAUGAUUCAUGGAAAAGUAUAUUCAUGUCUCAGUAUGUUCUUUCGGCUCCAACUUUGCUGUGAUUUUUUUUUUCGUUGUACGACAUGUGAUAAAAAUGUUGAGAAAUAUCACAUGGAAUUAGAAUGACCAUUUUGUGAAGUAUAACACAAAACUUGAAAAGGUGUAACGUUACUCAAUUUAACAUAUAUUUAUUAUGAAGUGUAACACAAAAUUUGUGGCGGUAAAACAUUGGGAAAUUGUCGAUCUAACACAAAUUGUCUCCUAAUAAUGUGCAUCGAUGCAUCUUGUGUGUGCAUGCGCGUGCGAUGAAUACACAAUAACUAGUGAAUGAUAGUGCUUAAAUACUAAAUUUAAUACGCAAACGACGUGCUCGCGUAUUAAUAUCUCACAUGAGCAACAUCACACACUAAAAAAUGGACAUAAUAUAUGCAUAUCAUCUUAAGGAUUCAUACAAUCAGGGAAUACUAAGUAGACAAUCUUUUAAGUUACAUUUAAUUUAAUGGAAGACUUAUUCAAUAUUAAAUUUGUAUCCUUUCAUGAUUAUUUCUUGGAAGAGUCGUGAUUGCCAUUUGCCAGCUAUAAUUAUUGUCCAACACGUCUUUGAGACUUUGACGAAGCGUUUAUGACUUCCACAAAAGCAAACAUAUAAAAGUAAAAACUAGAAAGCAACUGAAACUGAUAUCAGACUUUCCCAUGCAUGCUUGGCCUAACAGGUCAAUUAACAUUUUAAGAUUGAAGACAACCUACAGCCUUAUUUUCUUCACAGCUUUUGGGCAUAAUCUAAAUAAAUUAUUAUUUGAGUCAAACUAUUAUUUAAAAAAAUGCUUAGACCGCUCUAAAUGAGUUCAAACAUUCGGUCUGCCGUGUAAUAGAACUGGUCUAAACCCGAUUCUUAUAUUUGACUAAAUUUAAUAAUUCAAAACAAAUUAAGUAUGUUUGUAAAUUUCAUAAUCAAUUUUCUGGAUAUGGAAAAACAUCACAAAGAAAAGAAAAGGACUUUUCCUAAUUCAGCUUGAAAUUGGUAAUCAAAGAAGUAUGAAUACUCUUUUCUUUCCUUUUUGAUAUAAAGUUUACAAAACCAAUCUUUUGGCAGUAGAGCUUACAACUAUGAGAGCAAAGAGUCAUCUUCUUACCAGUAAUCUCCACAAGAGCAUUUCCCAUUUCUGAAAUGAUGAAAUCUACUGGCAUCUCGAACAAUAAUUUCUCUGUUUUUAAUUUCUGAAAUGUACUUAAUAGCAACAUGGCAAUCACUGCAGACGCGCAAGUUCUUCAUCACCCUUAUUGGUACACCCGUGGGUGUGUUCAUCAGGGCAAACGCAAUUGCAAGCUUUUCACUAUGGUGUUUCAAAUUAUAUUCCUUUUCCUCAUUGUCCAUGUCAUGCAUAUCAGCACCUGUAUCAGGGACAUAGCCCCGUAGCUUCAUCUCUGAUGUUAGUUCUUCCAAAUACAAAUCAAUCUCCAUCGAACUUGGAUGAGAUUUGUCGCCCAUGGUAAACUGAUGAACUUGAUUCUUUAUUUCUAACCAGCUUACACCUGGUUCCUUCUUCAC